This 1627-nucleotide ribosomal RNA is filed under the name Xylaria sp. C4. Its description in RNAcentral is "SSU rRNA". It matches the Rfam family "Eukaryotic small subunit ribosomal RNA". Lineage: Eukaryota; Fungi; Ascomycota; Sordariomycetes; Xylariales; Xylariaceae. The record is from RNAcentral.
AUGCAUGUNUAAGUAUAAGCAGAUUAUACGGCGAAACUGCGAAUGGCUCAUUAAAUCAGUUAUCGUUUAUUUGAUAGUACCUUAUUACUUGGAUAACCGUGGUAAUUCUAGAGCUAAUACAUGCUAAAAAUCCCGACUCACGAAGGGAUGUAUUUAUUAGAUUAAAAACCAAUGCCCCUCGGGGCUUUCAGGUGAUUCAUAAUAACUUCUCGAAUCGCAUGGCCUUGCGCCGGCGAUGGUUCAUUCAAAUUUCUGCCCUAUCAACUUUCGAUGGCAGGGUCUUGGCCUGCCAUGGUUACAACGGGUAACGGAGGGUUAGGGCUCGACCCCGGAGAAGGAGCCUGAGAAACGGCUACUACAUCCAAGGAAGGCAGCAGGCGCGCAAAUUACCCAAUCCCGACACGGGGAGGUAGUGACAAUAAAUACUGAUACAGGGCUCUUUUGGGUCUUGUAAUUGGAAUGAGUACAAUUUAAAUCCCUUAACGAGGAACAAUUGGAGGGCAAGUCUGGUGCCAGCAGCCGCGGUAAUUCCAGCUCCAAUAGCGUAUAUUAAAGUUGUUGCAGUUAAAAAGCUCGUAGUUGAACCUUGGGCCUGGCUGGCCGGUCCGCCUCACCGCGUGCACUGGUUCGGCCGGGCCUUUCCCUCUGGGGAGCCCUAUGCCCUUCACUGGGUGUAGUGGGGAACCAGGACUUUUACUGUGAAAAAAUUANAGUGUUCAAAGCAGGCAUAUGCUCGAAUACAUCAGCAUGGAAUAAUAGAAUAGGACGUGUGGUUCUAUUUUGUUGGUUUCUAGGACCGCCGUAAUGAUUAAUAGGGACAGUCGGGGGCAUCAGUAUUCAAUUGUCAGAGGUGAAAUUCUUGGAUUUAUUGAAGACUAACUACUGCGAAAGCAUUUGCCAAGGAUGUUUUCAUUAAUCAGGAACGAAAGUUAGGGGAUCGAAGACGAUCAGAUACCGUCGUAGUCUUAACCAUAAACUAUGCCGACUAGGGAUCGGACGAUGUUAUUUUUUGACUCGUUCGGCACCUUACGAGAAAUCAAAGAGUGGAGCCUGCGGCUUAAUUUGACUCAACACGGGGAAACUCACCAGGUCCAGACACAAUGAGGAUUGACAGAUUGAGAGCUCUUUCUUGAUUUUGUGGGUGGUGGUGCAUGGCCGUUCUUAGUUGGUGGAGUGAUUUGUCUGCUUAAUUGCGAUAACGAACGAGACAUUUACCUGCUAAAUAGCCCGUAUUGCUUUGGCAGUACGCUGGCUUCUUANAGGGACUAUCCGCUUAAGCGGGUGGAAGUUGGAUGCAAUAACAGGUCUGUGAUGCCCUUANAUGUUCUGGGCCGCACGCGCGUUACACUGACAGAGACAGCGAGUACUUCCUUANUAGAGAUACUUGGGUAAUCUUGUUAAACUCUGUCGUGCUGGGGAUAGAGCAUUGCAAUUAUUGCUCUUCAACGAGGAAUUCCUANUAAGCGUAAGUCAUCAACUUGCGUUGAUUACGUCCCUGCCCUUUGUACACACCGCCCGUCGCUACUACCGAUUGAAUGGCUCANNGAGGCUUCCCGACUGGCCCACAGGAGCCNGCNACGACNCCUCANGGCCGGAAAGCUAUCCAAACUCNGUCAUUUUACAGGAA